This 958-nucleotide ribosomal RNA is filed under the name uncultured euryarchaeote. RNAcentral describes it as "bacterial SSU rRNA". It matches the Rfam family "Archaeal small subunit ribosomal RNA", at positions 380 to 1332 of the family's 1478-position model. Lineage: Archaea; Methanobacteriati; Methanobacteriota. The record is from RNAcentral.
UCUGAGUGGCGGAGAACUAAGUUCUCCGUCUUUUGACAAGCUUAGACAGCUUGUAGAAUAAGUGCUGGGUAAGACCAGUGCCAGCCGCCGCGGUAAUACCGGCAGCACGAGUGGUAUCCACGAAUAUUGGGUCUAAAGAGUUCGUAGCUGGCCUGUUAAGUUCGCUGUGAAAUCUCGGCGCCUAACGCCGAGGAGUGCAGUGAAUACUGGCAGGCUUGAGAGUGGGGGAGGUGUGGAGUACUUACGGGGUAGGGGUAAAAUCCUGUAAUCCUGUAAGGACUCACAGUGGCGUAGGCGCCACACCAAAACACGUCUGACAGUGAGGAACGAAGGCUAGGAGAACAAAUCGGAUUAGAUACCCGAGUAGCCCUAGCAGUAAAUGAUGCAGACUUUGGUGUUGCGUCAGCUUAGAGCUGGCGCAGUGCUGUAGCGUAGGUCUUAAGUCUGCCACCUGGGGAGUACGAUCGCAAGAUUUAAACUUAAAGGAAUUGGCGGGGGAGCACCACAAGGGGUGGAAGCUGCGGUUCAAUUGGAUACAACGCCGGGAAUAUUACCAGGAAAGACGGCAGGAUGACGGCCAGACUGAAGAUCUUGCCUGACGAGCCGAGAGGUACUGCAUGGCCAUCGUCAGCUCGUGGUAUGAACUGUCACGUUAAGUCGUGAAACGAGCGAGACCCUCAUGUACUGUUGCAAGCUUUCCCUCCGGGGAAGGCGCACUCUGUACAGACUGCCGCCGGUUAAGUGGGGAGGAAGGAAAGGGCGACGAUAGGUCAGUAUGGUCUGAAUUUCCUUGGGCUACACGUGGCUUACAAUGGCUAAGACAAUGGGCAGCGACUCCGAAAGGGGAAGCAAAUCUCACAAACUUAGCCUAAGUUCGGAUUGGGGGCUGGAACUCGCCCCCACGAAGCUGGAAUCCCUAGUAAUCGCUUGUCAACAUCGAGCGGUGAAUGCGUCCCCG